This is an RNA transcript of Canis lupus familiaris (dog), 2053 nucleotides long. It is a transcript of the gene named dynein regulatory complex subunit 3, with no coding region annotated. The record is from RefSeq and is a predicted model, not a curated record. NCBI's taxonomy places the organism in Eukaryota, Metazoa, Chordata, Mammalia, Carnivora, Canidae. The transcript has 14 exons.
CCCGCCCAAGAAAUACUGUCACGUGACCGUCAACUUUCACCCAGGAUGUCUACUCGACGACUUCCCCUUAGCAACCGACUGGCGGAGCUUGGUUCCCUUAGUAACCGGGCGAAGCGUCGGCUUGCGUGGAAGCAGUCGGGUGGCAGGCGCUUGAGACGGGCUGUCCUGGUUUUGUUUCUCGGUGAGGAGUCUGCUCUAUUGGCAGUGGUGUAGAGCCCUCCACUGCUUUCCCCAACCGCUACCUCUGGGCUUCCCCAACACUGUUGUCAGGGAAAAUGCACCGGCUGUACAACUCACUGGAGCCAAGGGUGAUGGAUGAGGACAUGCUCAAGCUGGCUGUGGGAGAACAAGGCCCUCGGGAGGAGGCUGGGCAGCUGGCCAGGCAGGAGGGCAUCCUCUUCAAGGAUGUCCUGUCACUGCGGCUGGACUUCCAGAACAUCCUCCGCAUAGACAGCCUCUGGGAGUUUGAGAACUUGACAAAGCUCCAGUUGGACAACAACAUCAUUGAGAAGAUCGAGGGCCUGGAGCAACUUGUACACCUGGUCUGGCUGGACCUGUCUUUCAACAACAUUGAGGCCAUUGAGGGGCUGGACACGCUGGUGAACCUCGAAGACCUAAGCUUGUUCAACAACCGGAUCUCCAAGAUUGACUCUCUGGAUGCCCUCGUCAAGCUGCAGGUGUUGUCGCUGGGCAACAACCAGAUCGGCAACAUGAUGAAUAUCAUCUACCUGCGGCGGUUCAAGGACCUGCGGACGCUCAGCCUCUCUGGGAACCCCAUCGCAGAGUCGGAGGAUUACAAGAUGUUCGUCUGUGCCUACCUUCCUGACCUCGUGUACCUGGACUUCCACCGUAUCGACGACCACAUGAAAGAGAUGGCGGAGAGUAAGCACCAGUACAGCAUCGAUGAGCUGAAGCACCGAGAGAACCUGAUUCAGUCCCGGCUGGAGGAUGAGCAGGCCCAGCAGGAGGAGCUGGAGAAGCACAAGGCUGCGUUUGUCGAGCACCUGAAUGGUUCCUUCCUGUUUGACAGCAUGUACACCGAGGACGUGGAGGGCAACAAGCUGGCCUACCUGCCUGGCAUCAGCGAGCUCCUUCAGGCCUACAAGGACAAGUUCGUCAUCAUCUGCCUGAAUAUUUUCGAAUAUGGCCUGAAACAGCAGGAGAAGCGGAAAUUGGAGCUUGAUACGUUCAAUGAGUGUGUCCAGGAGGCCAUCCAAGAAAACCAGGAGCAGGGCAAACACAGGAUUGCCAAGUUUGAGGAGAAACACUUGCUGAGUCUAAAUGCCAUUCGAGAUGAGUCUGAACUGACCAACUUCGAGAUGAAGAUAGUGGAAUAUGGCAAGGACAUCACGGAGCUGUUCAACGUGCUCAUGACACUGGAGAUGCAAUUGGUAGAGCAGCUGGAGGAGACUAUAAACAUGUUUGAAAGGAACAUCAUUGACUUGGUGGCACUCUUUAUUGAAAAUGUGCAAAGCCUGAUGGCUCAGUGCCGGGACCUGGAGAACCACCACCACGAGAAGCUCCUAGAGAUCUCCAUCAAUACUCUCGAGAAGAUACUGAAGGGUGAUGUCGAUGAGGACCUGCCUGAUGACUUGCGCCCGAGAGAGCGAGAGAGAGGCAGAGACACAGGCAGAGGGAGAAGCAGGCUCCAUGCAGGAAGCCCGACGUGGGACUCGAUCCCGGGUCUCCAGGAUCACACCCUGGGCUGCAGAUGGCGCUAAACCGCUGCGCCACCGGGGCUGCCCAGGCAAAUCAGACUUGAGGGCAAGCAGGAGAGAACCACUGUGGGAACAGCCACCUGCCUUGGCCCUGAAGAAAAGACACUCCCAACUUAGUAUUGCAAAGCCAAUGCCUGGGUGGGCCCCUUCCCCAUAGGGCCUGCUGCAGCUCAGGUCUGGGAGGCGUCUCUAGAAGAUGAGCGCUUUUUGUUGACAAAGAUACGAUCUUUAAUGCUGUUGGGGCAUCGCAUGACAUCCACCUCCUGAAGAUCGACAAUCGAGAAGAUGAGCUGGUAACCAGGGCCAACUCUUGGUGUACGCACUUAGUAGACACG